GACGAGGGACCCUAGCGUUGUUCGGAAUCAUUGGGCGUAAAGCGGGUGUAGGUGGCUUUGUAAGUCAGGUGUGAAAUCCCUGGGCUCAACCCAGGAAGUGCAUUUGAUACUGCGAAGCUUGAGUGCCGGAGAGGUUACUGGAAUACCUGGUGUAGUGGUGAAAUACGUAGAUAUCAGGUGGAACACCGGAGGCGAAGGCGGGUAACUGGCCGGACACUGACACUCAGACCCGAAAGCGUGGGGAUCAAAC
Molecule: ribosomal RNA, 250 nt
Filed under: uncultured bacterium
Lineage: Bacteria
Description: partial 16S ribosomal RNA
Rfam family: Bacterial small subunit ribosomal RNA
Source: RNAcentral